GGUCAUGAGAGCCAGUGCAAAGCCCCGGCUAGCUGGACGGCAACCCUCCUGCAGCGGUGGGGUGCUCCGGGUGAGGACCGGGCUUCCGAGAGCCGGAAGCAAGCGCGCACG
Molecule: non-coding RNA, 111 nt
Filed under: Nocardia cyriacigeorgica
Lineage: Bacteria; Bacillati; Actinomycetota; Actinomycetes; Mycobacteriales; Nocardiaceae
Also listed under: 1 other name
Description: SAM-IV sequence
Rfam family: SAM (S-adenosyl methionine) riboswitch aptamer
About the family: SAM-IV is a mRNA element that regulates gene expression via direct sensing of S-adenosylmethionine (SAM or AdoMet). SAM-IV riboswitches share conserved nucleotide positions with the previously described SAM-I riboswitches sequence analysis and molecular recognition experiments suggest that SAM-I and SAM-IV riboswitches share similar ligand binding sites, but have different scaffolds.
Source: RNAcentral